Molecule: long non-coding RNA, 631 nt
Filed under: Calidris pugnax (ruff)
Lineage: Eukaryota; Metazoa; Chordata; Aves; Charadriiformes; Scolopacidae
Description: lncRNA (ENSCPUG00000006971.1)
Source: RNAcentral
UGCCCAGCCCCGCGGGGUGUUUUUGGGGCCGGGCCGCUCCUUACCUUAUCCUGUGUGACGCAGGGCCACGCCGAGGGAAAACCUGAGUCAUCGCCCUUUCCUCCCGCUCCGGGAGGCAACGCGCCGCCGGAGCCCAACGCCAAAGCCAGGCUUCCCCAGGAGCCCGAGUCCUGCUCCCCCGUCUCCUUUCCAGGAAAUCCAAAUAUUUCCCCCUCCACCCCAGGUAAUCCUAAAAUGAAGCCAAAAGGGGCUGAGAGGAACUAUGGGACCACACAGCAUCCGUGCAAAGCAGGCCCAUAGAGUAAGCAGAAAAUCAUCCCGUGCUGCAGAUGUUUUUGCAUGCUCCUCCUCUGCAAAUAUACCUGCAUCCAAGGUCUGGGCUGCGGCUUCUCUGUGCCAAGAGUAGUCCACAAACAGCACCCGCUGCCCUUCUGUACUGAGACUGAAUGCCCUGAAAUAAGCAACCAACAAAAAUAGGGGAAGAGAAAAAGAAGCAGCCUGAUCAGAGGGAAUGUCAGCUGAUAAAGUAACAAAUCUAUUUGCUAAUGUAACUUUUAUAACCCCUGAGAAACUCAGCCAAAAAUCAAGCAAUUCCCUUGCCUUGCUUUGGUGCCAAGUGACUUUCAAUCUG